RNAcentral lists this microRNA precursor (59 nucleotides) under Branchiostoma lanceolatum (amphioxus). RNAcentral describes it as "Bla-Mir-4872-P14b_pre stem-loop". Lineage: Eukaryota; Metazoa; Chordata; Leptocardii; Amphioxiformes; Branchiostomatidae. The record is from RNAcentral.
UUACGGGGCAGUUAUAUCCAUGUGUAUAUUUAUCAACAUGAUAUAACCUCCCUGUACUC